Molecule: transfer RNA, 63 nt
Filed under: Macrolygistopterus sp. UPOL MT0073
Lineage: Eukaryota; Metazoa; Arthropoda; Insecta; Coleoptera; Lycidae
Description: tRNA-Leu
Source: RNAcentral
UUACUUUGGCAGAAUAGUGUAUUUGAUUUAGAAUCAUUUUAUGUAAAAAUUUACAGGUAAUAU